UGAUCUUUGACUCUUUUUCAGUAUAUUUUUCAUGAAUCCUUUGAGUAUAGUUAUAGAAUUUGAUGUAUUAACAUAGAUGCUAUUUUUCAUACAAACAUUAUGGGAGAAUUAAAUUAAUUUUCUUCCUAGCUUUAAUUAAACCAAAUUUUAGUGAGUGUUUUGGUGUGAUUAAAGUAACUUCCACUCAGAAGUUGAGUAUUGAAUAAGUGACAGCAGCUUUCAGUUAGAGAAAUUAUAAUUUUGCUUGAAUUAGGUUCAUAAAUGGUAGUAGGAAAAUAUUUUUCAUAACUUUUGCUAAUAUAAGGUUCUCUUGAUAUCGCAGCAGCUAAUUUAGCUAUUUCUGAUGAGUUUUGCUUAAUAAAAGGGGAAAUGAUAUUAUAUAUUGAAUCUUGAUAGAAAAUGAACAAGAGAGUGGGUAGAAUAUGGGUUUUAAAUAUAAAUUUUAAUUUUUGUGGUUAUAACUGCAUCCAUAUUAUUCCAUUACUUGAACCUUGAGAUUGAUGAGGUGAGAAGUGAUGAGUUAUACGAAUUCUUUGUCGAACGGCAAAUUUGUUAGUAUAUAGGCCAUGAGUUUGAUUAGAAAUUUGGUUUCGGUAUUGGUAUGGAGAAAGAAAGACAUGUAUAAAUUUAUGGAUUUUAUGGGAUAUAUUUAUAUAAGUGUGUAUGCAAUGAUUGAGCUUGAAGUUUUAUAUGUACAGGUACAAAUUAAAGAAUAUGGAAAAGAAUUAAUCGUGAAAGCUAAUUAUGCACUUACGCUUAUAUAUGUAUCUAUGUAUCCAAGGGCUAAUCAAAGAUAUUAUUUAAAAAUAAUUGUUGCUUGAUAUGGUACAAUGAAGUCGUAUAUUUAAUACUUGCUAGGGAUUGAUUAGUUAAUGUGUAAUAUGUAAUUUUGGCAUAGAAAAACUCUGAAUUUUGUGAAUUGGCAGCAGCUACCUUAAGUAGUUUUUGUGUUGUUUUAGAAGGACCUAUAUAUGCAAGCGAGUGUGCUUUCAAGAUUCCGUGUCGGUCGAUUAUCUAUGGUUGAUAGAUGAUUUAAAUAGGUUUGUUAUUUAUAAUGAUGAUUCAUGGAUUGUUAAGUUGUAAUACAAGAUUUUAUUUAAUAAUAAUAACGAAUAUUGGAUACAUAAGCUAUAGUUUUAUAUGAUUGUUAAGGGUCUAUAUUCAGAUAGUUUAACUAGUAAUAUGUGGAGGUCAAGCAAAUUUUCACUUAUUUGCUUAUUUAUUUAUUUACUUAAUGUUACAUAGCAAGUUAAAG
This is a non-coding RNA of Jatropha curcas, 1255 nucleotides long. NCBI's taxonomy places the organism in Eukaryota, Viridiplantae, Streptophyta, Magnoliopsida, Malpighiales, Euphorbiaceae. The record is from RefSeq and is a predicted model, not a curated record.